CCUUUUUAGUGCAUGUCUCAUUUUGACUUGUUUCUGCUACAAAUGAGGCUUCAGUUAAGUAAAAUAUUCUUUGCAUGCGCUUGACAACAUUUGGAGGCAUGGAAAUAUAAUAUCAUAGAAGGCUGAAACCUAAACCUGGUUCUGGAUUCCACUAUAGUAUUUCUGAGUGGAGUUGGUCCACAUAGACCAUGCUUGCAGGAGGACUUCACAAAGAGUUUGACAAUCGGCAGCAUCAGUGCAUGGUGCUGUAUCUCCUGUGGACAAGCAGUGCAGAAAACAGUAGGUGCAUUUAUAUGAGACCCUUAAUGUGCAGUAGCCUAAUAACACUGCGCAGUAGAGCUUCACAGCAUGGACAAUGCUAACACACUACCGCACAGUAUUAUCAGGAAGGAUACUGGUUUUCUCUGUUUAAAAAUAGCAAAUUCUCUGAUAAAACUCCCCAAAUCCACAAUUAAAAUGAAAUGCUACUAUGUAUAUGUAUCAAUUGAACACAAUGUAUUAUUGAUAUAUUUCCAAUUUUAAAGCCAUUUGGAGCCCUACCAGUGCCUCAAUUACUAUAAUAAAAUACA
This is a long non-coding RNA of Alligator mississippiensis (American alligator), 569 nucleotides long. RefSeq lists it as uncharacterized. The transcript has 4 exons. Lineage: Eukaryota; Metazoa; Chordata; Crocodylia; Alligatoridae. The record is from RefSeq and is a predicted model, not a curated record.